RNAcentral lists this ribosomal RNA (320 nucleotides) under uncultured bacterium. RNAcentral's name for it is "bacterial SSU rRNA". It matches the Rfam family "Bacterial small subunit ribosomal RNA", at positions 202 to 507 of the family's 1533-position model. The record is from RNAcentral.
GCGGGGGAUCUUCGGACCUCGCGCUAUUGGAGCGGCCGAUGUCGGAUUAGCUAGUAGGUGAGGUAAAGGCUCACCUAGGCGACGAUCCGUAGCUGGUCUGAGAGGAUGAUCAGCCACACUGGGACUGAGACACGGCCCAGACUCCUACGGGAGGCAGCAGUGGGGAAUUUUGGACAAUGGGCGCAAGCCUGAUCCAGCCAUGCCGCGUGAGUGAAGAAGGCCUUCGGGUUGUAAAGCUCUUUCAGGUGGAAAGAAAUAGCGCUGUUUAAUAGAUGGCGUUGAUGACGGUACCACCAGAAGAAGCACCGGCUAACUACGUG